AGAGAGAGACAUGCGUGCAUAUCAAUAAGCGGAGGAAAAGAAACUAACAUAGGAUUCCCUCAGUAACGGCGAGUGAAGCGGGAAGAGCUCAAAUUUGAAAUCUUCAAGGUUCUACCUUGACGAAUUGUAGUUUAAAGAAGUGUUUUCUGUUGAGGUUUUGGUAAAAGUUCUUUGGAAUAGGACAUCAUAGAGGGUGAGAAUCCCGUAUUUGACCAUUACUUUCAACUUUGUGACUACACUUUCAAAGAGUCGGAUUGUUUGGGAAUGCAGUCCAAAAUGGGUGGUAAAUUUCAUCUAAAGCUAAAUACUGGCGAGAGACCGAUAGCGAACAAGUACCGUGAGGGAAAGAUGAAAAGAACUUUGAAAAGAGAGUUAAACAGUACGUGAAAUUGUCAAAAGGGAAGCGUUUGACACCAGUGUUGUUUUCUCGAAAAUCAAUUAAAAAGAGUUAGAUUUUGUUGUGUAUUGACCUUAUCAGCUUCUGCAUUUCAUUUUCUUGUCUUUUUUAAUGCACUUUUCGUUUAACAAGUCAACAUCAAUUUCUUUUGUUGUAAAAGGGUCAUUGGAAGGUGGCUUUCUUUUCGGAGAAAGUGUUUAUAGCCUUUGACUCCUGCAAUCGGAGAGACUGAGGUCUGCAGCGUAGAUCCUUCGGGGUUAGAUACAUUUGUGCUAAGUUAUAGCUUUUUAUAGACAACUUGUUGACUAUGAUUAGUCUUGUAGCUUACUCGCUUAUGCUAUUUUACCUACGCUUAGGAUGUUGAUGUGAUACUGCGAGCA
RNAcentral lists this ribosomal RNA (777 nucleotides) under uncultured Neocallimastigales. RNAcentral describes it as "partial large subunit ribosomal RNA". It matches the Rfam family "Eukaryotic large subunit ribosomal RNA", at positions 23 to 639 of the family's 3401-position model. Lineage: Eukaryota; Fungi; Neocallimastigomycota; Neocallimastigomycetes; Neocallimastigales. The record is from RNAcentral.